RNAcentral lists this ribosomal RNA (948 nucleotides) under Triticum aestivum (bread wheat). RNAcentral describes it as "partial small subunit ribosomal RNA". The record is from RNAcentral. Lineage: Eukaryota; Viridiplantae; Streptophyta; Magnoliopsida; Poales; Poaceae.
AUGAGGUCUCUCGGCCGCACUUCGUUGUGCUUUCACCUGGCCCUGCUUCUCCUCCUUGCCGUGGUCAGGGCAGAUGAUCCUAGCCUCGCCGAUGGAGGGAGGCUCAUUGACCCCAAGCCUUCCCCAAAACCCAUUCCAAAACUGAUGCCUCAACCCAACCCUAAAAUGCCGCACCCGAACCCAAACCCAAACCCAAACCCAAAGCCCACGACUCCUGCAAUGCCGGAACCCAACCCAAUACCGGACCCAGAUGCCAAGCCACAACCAAAACCAAUGCCUCAGCCUGACCCGAAGCCAACUCCUGAAAAGCCAAAGGCUGAACCUCAGCCAGGCUCAUUGCCGGUGUAUUCACUAGACGACAUUGGUUCCGACAGGACGAACCCAAAGCCUGACCCACACCCUAACCCUAAGGCAAACCCAAGAAAGCCGGACCCAGACGCCAAGCCACAACCAAAGCCAAUGCCCCAGCCGAACCCAAAGCCAAAUCCGGAAAAGCCAAAGCCUAAACCUCAGUCAGGGUCAUUGCCGGUGUAUUCACUAGACGGUGUUUCCGACAGGACGAACCCAAAGCCCAACCCGCAACCUAACCCUAGGACAAACCCAGCAAAGCCGGACCCAGAAGUCAAGCCACAACCACAGCCAAAGCCCCAGCCAAACCCAAAACCAACUCCAGCAAAGCCGGACCCAGAAAUCAAGCCACAACCACAGCCAAACCCAAAACCCACUCCUGCAAAGACGGAGCCUGAACCACGGCCAGGACCAUCCAAGUCGACGCCAUUGGACUCACUGUCAGUUCGUUUCGACAAGGUGAACCCAAAGCCUGAUCCACACCCGACCCCCAAGCCAACACCAAAGCCGCAGCCAAACCCCAACCCCCACCCGGGACCGUCCAAGCCUAAGCCGCCGGUGUACGCACGUCGCGUUGGCUCCGACAAGCCCCUCAACUAA